RNAcentral lists this transfer RNA (69 nucleotides) under Goera martynowi. RNAcentral describes it as "tRNA-Pro". The record is from RNAcentral. Lineage: Eukaryota; Metazoa; Arthropoda; Insecta; Trichoptera; Goeridae.
CAAAGAAUAGUUUAAUUUUAAAACUAUAAUUUUGGAGAUUAUUAAUGUAUAAUUUUUAUACUUCUUUGA